ACGGAGGGUGCGAGCGUUAAUCGGAAUCAUUGGGCGUAAAGCGCACGUAGGCGGUGUCGUAAGUCGGAUGUGAAAGCCUUCGGCUCAACCGGGGAAUUGCAUUUGAUACUGUGAUGCUUGAGUACAGGUGAGGGAGGCGGAAUGCGACAUGUAGGGGUGAAAUGCUUAGAUAUGACAAGGAACACCGAUAGCGAAGGCAGCCAACUAAAUUGAAACUGACGCUGAUGUACGAAAGCGUGGGGAUCAAACAG
RNAcentral lists this ribosomal RNA (251 nucleotides) under uncultured prokaryote. RNAcentral describes it as "partial 16S rRNA". It matches the Rfam family "Bacterial small subunit ribosomal RNA", at positions 525 to 775 of the family's 1533-position model. The record is from RNAcentral.